GAAGCCAGGCCAAGAAGAAUCCCAGGACUGGAAGGCCUUGUGGGACGUCCCAGGUUUGUCUUGUGUCAAUAGCACUGAUACUCAAUCUCCUACUCCCAUCUGUGAGCAUGCAGACCCUACUUGCCUUCCCACAGCCUCCCUUUUCAUAUUUUUCAUGUUUCUUUAGCUCUGUCUUCAAGCCUUGUUGCUCCCGCAAAAAAACCUGCCUCUUCCUCCAGUCCUCCCAAGCAGGGGGAACAGUCCUGACACCUUUCCAAGCCCUGGUCCAUGGACAUUGUGCCCCCUUCUCCCUGCCCAUGGUGACCUGCUCCAAAACCCUCAAGGAGAAGGGAGUGUAUGUCAUUUCCUCCCUGUAAAGUAAAGAUAAUUUUGCAGGGGACUGUGUGGAUGAAAUGACAUGAUGCAUGGAAAUCCCUUAGCGUGUGCCUGGCAUGUAAACUGCAGGUGUCAUCAUUAUUACUGAGGAAUACUGAGUCCCGAACAUGGCUGUCUCAUUGGUGGACUGGGGUCUCCCCCAGGGCAUUCAUCUACUAUGUGUUUAUUGCACCCUUUUUCCAUGUGAGGCACAUGCCAGGGACUGGGCACAUGGUAUGAACAAGACACAGGUCAUCGGUGUCCUCUUGAGCUCCCUGGCUUGGCAGCAGAUGCAUACCUGGGAAGGAUGCUAGGUCAUCCGGGAACUCUACCUCCUUCAAAUCCCUAAGGACUGUGCUCCCAAUCCGCUUACGCUCAAGGAAGAACUGGAAGGCCCAGAACCAGCCUGCUGUCAGGAUCAGAACAAAAGAGGAGGACUGCAUAUGUAUGGACCCACUCCAGAUGGCACGGGGACGGGGGGAGUAGGAAAAGUGGCAUGGUCCCUUCCCGUGGAUAUAAUUCUUCCCAGGCCUGUUGUGUGAGUUGGUGAUGCCAUCAUUCCUGCCUCACACUUGCAAACUUCCCUCUUUGGAAUUUCAGAGACCAGGCCCACAGAGUAUGGCUGUGCAAGUUGUUCACUCUACAAGGGCACCUGGCCGGGGUCUUACCUUGAAUGGAGGAGAAGAGCUUGAAGAUGAGGGGACAGGCCAAGACAACUACCUGGCCCCGAGGGGUGGCUGGCCAGCAGAUGAGGAAAUGGAGGCACAGACUGAUUAGAAAACCAGCUCAAGGUCAUGUUGCUGGGCUCUCUGGUGGAGCCUCUGUCUCACAGGUCACCUGCAGGCCAACACUCCCAGAAGCAGCUAGCACCAUGGUUGACCUCGUCCAGGUCCAGGGAAGGCCUCCCUCUCCAGGACUCCUUUAGAUUUCCCCAGCAUCCAGACCUCACCUGCCUAAGUGCUGUUGCCCUGGAAGCCACAGUGAGCACGAGCUCCAUCUUGCACCUUUACCAGCCAAUGGGGGUAAAGACAUUAGCUGAAAUACUUCUAAGGGGCCAGGCGUGGUGACUCAUGCUUGUAAUUCCAAGCACUUUGGGAGGCUGAGGCAGGUGGAUCACCUGAAGCCAGGAGUUCAAGAGCAGCCUGGCCAACAUGGCGAAACCCUGUCUCUACUAAAAAUACAAAAUUUAGCCAGGCAUGGUGGCGGGAGCCUGUAAUCUCAGCUCCUAGGGAGGCUGAGCCAGAAGAAUCGCUUAAACCUGGAAGCUGGAGGUUGCAGUGAGCCAAGAUCACACCACCACACUCCAGCCUGGGUGACAGAGCAAGACUCCAUCUCAAAAAGAAAAAAAAGAAAAAAAGGAAAUACUUCUAAGUUAUGUGAGAGAGUACAUACUGACAUUUUCAAUGGGUACAAUAA
This 1770-nucleotide long non-coding RNA is filed under the name Homo sapiens (human). RNAcentral's name for it is "PREDICTED lncRNA (TCONS_00191769)". The record is from RNAcentral. Lineage: Eukaryota; Metazoa; Chordata; Mammalia; Primates; Hominidae.